RNAcentral lists this RNase P RNA (323 nucleotides) under uncultured Oribacterium sp. Its description in RNAcentral is "A". It matches the Rfam family "Bacterial RNase P class A". Rfam says of the family: Ribonuclease P (RNase P) is a ubiquitous endoribonuclease, found in archaea, bacteria and eukarya as well as chloroplasts and mitochondria. Its best characterised activity is the generation of mature 5'-ends of tRNAs by cleaving the 5'-leader elements of precursor-tRNAs. Cellular RNase Ps are ribonucleoproteins. The record is from RNAcentral. Lineage: Bacteria; Bacillati; Bacillota; Clostridia; Lachnospirales; Lachnospiraceae.
GUGGUCGCUGCCAGCGUAGGGAAACCGGCUGGGAGAGGAAAGUCCGGGCUUCACAGAGCAGGAUGCCUGCUAACGGCAGGUUGAGGUGACUCACAGGAAAGUGCAACAGAGAACAUACCGCCCGCAAGGGUAAGGGUGAAAAGGCAGUGUAAGAGACUACCGCGCCUCUGGUGACAGAGACGGCAUUGCAAACCCCAUCCGAAGCAAGACCAAACAGGAGACAUAUGGCUGCUCGUCAGUCUCCGGGUAGGUUGCUUGAGACGCAUGGCAACAUGCGCCCUAGAUAGAUGACCACUUGAAACAUAACCCGGCUUACUACGAUA